This is a non-coding RNA of Cinara cedri, 247 nucleotides long. The record is from the annotation of a GenBank genome assembly. NCBI's taxonomy places the organism in Eukaryota, Metazoa, Arthropoda, Insecta, Hemiptera, Aphididae.
CUCGGUUUUUAUCGCGUGUAGGUAUUAUUGUGUGUGCGCAGAUGGAAAUUACAAAUGUGUGGAGAGUUUAAUCUAAUAAUAAUAAUUUACUACACGACGUAUAAGAUUAACAAACAUUGUUUUUUGAAUACUCGCGUGAAAUUAGAUGUAAUAACAUUUUAACAACUAUACAUAUCUAACAACAGUCGAUGAAUAAAUUAGAAUAUUGUGUAAUAAUCAAGUUAAGUCAUUACAAACGAGAGUUGGU